UAAUCUCACCAUCCGACUUAUUGUCGGUUGUUGUGGACUUGGAUGCUGCCGUGUUGUGACGGCUCAUCUGAAAUGUCUGAGUACAUCCUGAAUUUGCGGUGUGUUCGGUGUGAUAAAUCUUCACCGGAGUCGACCUCAGGUCACGCCCGCUCGUCAUGGCUCUGUGCUUCCAACCGUCUCCCCUAGGAGACAAUCUCUGACA
Molecule: unclassified non-coding RNA, 202 nt
Filed under: uncultured Sebacinaceae
Lineage: Eukaryota; Fungi; Basidiomycota; Agaricomycetes; Sebacinales; Sebacinaceae
Description: sequence contains ITS2
Source: RNAcentral